GCCCUAGUAGCUCAGAGAAUAGAGCGCCGGUCUUGUAAGCCGAAUGUCGAGGGUUAAAAUCCCCCCUAGUGCU
Molecule: transfer RNA, 73 nt
Filed under: Solivomer arenidens
Lineage: Eukaryota; Metazoa; Chordata; Actinopteri; Myctophiformes; Neoscopelidae
Description: tRNA-Thr
Rfam family: tRNA
About the family: Transfer RNA (tRNA) molecules are approximately 80 nucleotides in length. Their secondary structure includes four short double-helical elements and three loops (D, anti-codon, and T loops). Further hydrogen bonds mediate the characteristic L-shaped molecular structure. tRNAs have two regions of fundamental functional importance: the anti-codon, which is responsible for specific mRNA codon recognition, and the 3' end, to which the tRNAs corresponding amino acid is attached (by aminoacyl-tRNA synthetases). tRNAs cope with the degeneracy of the genetic code in two manners: having more than one tRNA (with a specific anti-codon) for a particular amino acid; and 'wobble' base-pairing, i.e. permitting non-standard base-pairing at the 3rd anti-codon position.
Source: RNAcentral